UACAGAGGUCUCAAGCGUUGUUCGGAUUCAUUGGGCGUAAAGGGUGCGUAGGCGGCGCGGUAAGUCGGGUGUGAAAUCUCGGAGCUUAACUCCGAAACUGCAUUCGAUACUGCCGUGCUUGAGGACUGGAGAGGAGACUGGAAUUUACGGUGUAGCGGUGAAAUGCGCAGAUAUCAGGAAGAACACCCGUGGCGAAGGCGGCUCUCUGGGACGUGACUGACGCUGAGACGCGAAAGCGUGGGGAGCGAACAGG
This 253-nucleotide ribosomal RNA is filed under the name uncultured bacterium. Its description in RNAcentral is "partial 16S ribosomal RNA". It matches the Rfam family "Bacterial small subunit ribosomal RNA", at positions 524 to 776 of the family's 1533-position model. The record is from RNAcentral.